This 631-nucleotide long non-coding RNA is filed under the name Hordeum vulgare. RNAcentral describes it as "long non-coding RNA (HVUL_LNC016637)". The record is from RNAcentral. Lineage: Eukaryota; Viridiplantae; Streptophyta; Magnoliopsida; Poales; Poaceae.
AGUUACAACAAGCACGAAUCAAUUCAUUAGAAGUCAAAAACAAGCUUGUGGUUUGUUAAAAAUGCAGAGGACAAAUUACCUUGUACAGUUGCAGAUUAAUAGACGAAAUUACAAUCAGUAUAUGGAUCUUUUCGGCGCUUCUAGCGCCCAGCUGACGAGCUGGACAAUCUGAGCAGCGGAACUACGCCACCACGGACGCCGGAACUGCAGUCGGAAGGGAGGUCCGUACAUCCGACGGAUCUACAGAGUGACCUCCGGGUUCUGGGACCGACGGAGAUCGGAGGGAGAGGGAGGAGGAGGGGAGCACGCCGCCACAGUUUCCUCCAGUGGCACUUCUGCUUCUGUCCCUCCAUAUCUGACCUCGCCGUCGCCGCCGCCACGACACGAGAGAGGGCGAGAGAAAGCGUGUCGUUUCGAGAGAGACAGAGAGAAAGGGUUUACUUCCACGAGGCGGGGCACGUGGGUCGUUUCCCGGCGAUUUCCACGUGGUUCGGAAGGGAACUAAUCCCCGUCGGGUCUAAUCGAAGGCUGUUAUAAGCGAGACCGGGAUCCGCCCCCAGCCAGGGAGACACCCACGGGGAUCAGCAGGGAUUUGGCCAGAUCCCGGCGGGGCUGGGGAUAACCGAACGUA